Molecule: ribosomal RNA, 253 nt
Filed under: uncultured bacterium
Lineage: Bacteria
Description: partial 16S ribosomal RNA
Rfam family: Bacterial small subunit ribosomal RNA
Source: RNAcentral
UACGUAGGGUGCAAGCGUUAUCCGGAAUUAUUGGGCGUAAAGAGCUCGUAGGCGGUCUGUCGCGUCUGCUGUGAAAACCCGAGGCUCAACCUCGGGCCUGCAGUGGGUACGGGCAGACUAGAGUGCGGUAGGGGAGAUUGGAAUUCCUGGUGUAGCGGUGGAAUGCGCAGAUAUCAGGAGGAACACCGAUGGCGAAGGCAGAUCUCUGGGCCUUGCCUGACGCUGAGGCGCGAAAGCUAGGGGAGCGAACAGG